GAGUUUGAUCCUGGCUCAGGAUGAACGCUAGCGACAGGCUUAACACAUGCAAGUCGAGGGGCAGCGGUGGUGAAGGCUUGCCUUUACCAGCCGGCGACCGGCGCACGGGUGAGUAACACGUAUGCAACCUGCCUGCCACAGCCGGAUAAUCGGGAGAAAUUCCGUCUAAUACGGCAUAAUGCACCUAUGGGACAUCCUGUUGGUGCCAAAGGUUAAUUCCGGUGGCGGAUGGGCAUGCGUCGCAUUAGUUAGUUGGCGGUGUAACGGACCACCAAGACGACGAUGCGUAGGGGUUCUGAGAGGAAGGUCCCCCACACUGGUACUGAGACACGGACCAGACUCCUACGGGAGGCAGCAGUGAGGAAUAUUGGUCAAUGGGCGGGAGCCUGAACCAGCCAAGUCGCGUGAGGGAUGACGGCCCUAUGGGUUGUAAACCUCUUUUGCCGGGGAGCAAAGUGCCGCACGUGUGCGGUUUGGAGAGUACCCGGAGAAAAAGCAUCGGCUAACUCCGUGCCAGCAGCCGCGGUAAUACGGAGGAUGCGAGCGUUAUCCGGAUUUAUUGGGUUUAAAGGGUGCGUANGCGGACGCUUAAGUCAGCGGUAAAAUUGCGGGGCUCAACCUCGUCGAGCCGUUGAAACUGGGUGUCUUGAGUGGGCGAGAAGUACGCGGAAUGCGUGGUGUANCGGUGAAAUGCAUAGAUAUCACGCAGAACUCCGAUUGCGAAGGCAGCGUACCGGCGCCCAACUGACGCUGAAACACGAAGGCGUGGGUAUCGAACAGGAUUAGAUACCCUG
Molecule: ribosomal RNA, 794 nt
Filed under: uncultured bacterium
Lineage: Bacteria
Description: bacterial SSU rRNA
Rfam family: Bacterial small subunit ribosomal RNA
Source: RNAcentral